GAAGCCCAGCUUGCUGGGUGGAUUAGUGGCGAACGGGUGAGUAACACGUGGGUGAUCUGCCCUGCACUCUGGGAUAAGCCUGGGAAACUGGGUCUAAUACCGGAUAUGACCUCUUGCUGCAUGGCGAGGGGUGGAAAGUUUUUCGGUGCAGGAUGAGCCCGCGGCCUAUCAGCUUGUUGGUGGGGUAAUGGCCUACCAAGGCGACGACGGGUAGCCGGCCUGAGAGGGCGACCGGCCACACUGGGACUGAGACACGGCCCAGACUCCUACGGGAGGCAGCAGUGGGGAAUAUUGCACAAUGGGCGAAAGCCUGAUGCAGCGACGCCGCGUGAGGGAUGACGGCCUUCGGGUUGUAAACCUCUUUCAGCAGGGACGAAGCGAAAGUGACGGUACCUGCAGAAGAAGCACCGGCCAACUACGUGCCAGCAGCCGCGGUAAUACGUAGGGUGCGAGCGUUGUCCGGAAUUACUGGGCGUAAAGAGCUCGUAGGCGGUUUGUCGCGUCGUCUGUGAAAUCCCGCAGCUCAACUGCGGGCUUGCAGGCGAUACGGGCAGACUCGAGUACUGCAGGGGAGACUGGAAUUCCUGGUGUAGCGGUGAAAUGCGCAGAUAUCAGGAGGAACACCGGUGGCGAAGGCGGGUCUCUGGGCAGUAACUGACGCUGAGGAGCGAAAGCGUGGGUAGCGAACAGGAUUAGAUACCCUGGUAGUCCACGCCGUAAACGGUGGGCGCUAGGUGUGGGUUUCCUUCCACGGGAUCCGUGCCGUAGCCAACGCAUUAAGCGCCCCGCCUGGGGAGUACGGCCGCA
This 807-nucleotide ribosomal RNA is filed under the name Rhodococcus rhodochrous. RNAcentral describes it as "bacterial SSU rRNA". It matches the Rfam family "Bacterial small subunit ribosomal RNA", at positions 70 to 890 of the family's 1533-position model. The record is from RNAcentral. Lineage: Bacteria; Bacillati; Actinomycetota; Actinomycetes; Mycobacteriales; Nocardiaceae.